This 3064-nucleotide long non-coding RNA is filed under the name Copidosoma floridanum. RNAcentral describes it as "uncharacterized LOC106638429". The record is from RNAcentral. Lineage: Eukaryota; Metazoa; Arthropoda; Insecta; Hymenoptera; Encyrtidae.
CGGCACAGCAGCGGAGAGCCGAAAAAUCACCAAGGGCGAUCGAGUCAUAGCCGUAGGUGGCACGGACCUGCGCGAAGCUUCGGUCGAGGACAUAGCGCUUCACGUGAAAGUCUCGAAUCCGGUGCAGCUGAAACUUCUCAGAUACAAGACCAAGUGACAGGGUUCUGCAGGCGGAACUCUCCUGGUGGUGGUGAUGAGGCUACGUCAACGCAAGCUAGUAGCGGCGCCGGCCGCCUAAAGGGGCAGCGUCGCGCGGAAGACUCUAGUGUGAUAACUUCUCGAUCUAGCGCGUCCUCUAGCGUGUACCAAAGAUAACAUAGUGUAAUGUUGUGACGAUGAUUAUCAUUAUUAUUAUUAUUACUACGGGCGUGCGAGGAGAAUCGGGUGAAAAGACGUGUAUUUGAGUUAGGAGUUAGGCGAGCGAUGAGAGCAGAGAUGCAGAGCAGCGAUCGUUGCUAAACGCUUAUUGUUGUAUGAUUGGCAUUUGUAUUGAUUUAUUAUACGGUAAUAAUGAUAUACCAAACGCUGUUGGCUGUUAUAAAAUAAAUGAACGCCCAACUCGUGGAUGCUUCAAUACAUGGGGUGACAGCGCCUCGGGAAAGAUAUGAAGAGACGCUCUUGAAAAAAUUUGUGUUUCAUCAACUACUGCUUUCAAAGGGCGAGGGCUUGAUAUAAUUAUAUAGUCCUUGCAUAAAGAAAUAACUGAUUUUCGGCCGAAAACAAACAUCUAUAGAAUAAAUGUGCGGGUUUGAUUUUUUCGUGCGAGUUUUUAAUUAAUCAGCCCGUACGCAAACUUGGGAUUUGUACGCGUUUUUACCGAAGUUGAUUGAUGAACUGAGAAAAGAAACGAAAAAAUGACUGUAGCAACUCAAGUGAUUUGGUGCCAUUUCAUUGUCUGGGGAAUUUUUACCGUUACACACAGACCUACUCUCUUUUAUCGAGAAAACAGUAGAAAGUACCCGAGACCGUAUUAUCAAUUUUAUUUCAUACAAAUUACGUAAUGCAUUUAACGACAGUGUUAAACUCAACAAAUGAAAAAUCAUUGACGCAACGGUUGCAUUUGAAGAAAAAAAAAAUUAAAAGUACAUUCCAAAUAAUUGCACUGAGAAUAUAACGUACGCGUACGCCUAUACAUGCACCGCAUACGGAAGAUACAAUACAAUAUAAUUAUGGCUGGGGACCAAAUCGGUUUGACAAUUAUUACUUUACUUUGCUCGAUUAUAUAGUUCGUUACGCCAAAUAUAGGAGAAAUAAUGUGACGUUGGAGACGAUUCUCUUACGUCAUCAGCCAAUCACAGACUGGACAACUGAAAAAAUUAAAAAAAAAAGGUACCUAUAACUCCUUUGAAAUCUAUCUACUGACCGCCAUGUGUAUCUAUAGAGUUACAAGCUCUGUGGUGGUAUUGAUCACUUUUUUUUUUUUUUUUUUUUAAUCGAACGUAGGCACUUUUGUGGUCACUGGUCCUGUAAAACUCGCGCGUUCAAAGCCACAAUUAACAAGGAAACCGAGUCCAAAAGGGAUUUUCCGACGUAUAGAUUUACGGAAUCAUGAUUUACCCAACCGUUGACGAAACUAUUGAAAGGAAUGAUUUUUUUUGUUUUUUUAGAAAGACGUAACAUUGUAACAAAACUUUUAAUCGCGCCAAAAGUGUGUUUUUUAAACCUUUUAGACUACGAAAUCGACGUACAUUGUAAUCAUUUGAAGGAUUGUAUAUACAAGGCAUAUAUACAAGAAGAAAAAUCUACACCAAUUACAUAAUUUAAAGAGAAUGUAUAAGUAUGUAUAGUAGAAACAUUAGCGUACGUGGUAAUGAGUUAGAUUUUAAUGUGUACAUAGCGUAAUUUCUCGCAUUUCCGUGUAACGAUAAGUGGUUUAGUUGUAUAGCAAAGAAAACAAAAAGAAAAUAAUAAAUAUAUAAGAAGGGCAAUAAACAGUUGCCAAAGUAAUAUCUACAUUAUACGUAAAGUUACUAUCGCUAAAUUAUAUACGAUUCUGCGAAAAUUUUAGAUACUAUGAACCUAUAUAAUAGCGUAAAAGUAAUAUAGCAUUGCGGAGCAAAAAAAAAAAAUUCUACAUCUGUUUGGUUACUCGACGUACAACAAAAAUACAAUGUAGAUCGCAUUUAUAAAAUGUAAGAUGGUCAUUAGCCUAAUUGGCGGAUGUAAAAACAAACAGUAAAAGACACCAAGUGAAUUGUGCUACAAGAUUAAAAAAAUAAAAAAGCAUUAAUAAUUGCGUCGUUUGCAAAUAUUUGUUUUCGCACCGCGUAUAUUACAUAUUCUCUAGGGAUAAGAUCGCUUAACUAUAUAUCCCGUUGAUCAUAGAAAAAUGAUUACCGUUUAUAAUAGAAACUUUUAUCGGAGCGCGUCAAAAUGUGUUUUCUGUUAAUAUUAUAUAGUUAAAAAAAUAAAAAAUUAUCUUAGGCGAUUGAAGAGUAUUUAACUGUUACCGUAUGUGCCGUCGAUUACAAUGGAGGAUUGAAAAAUAAAUUUAAAAAGUCCAUUGUACGUAUGAGGCACGCGUCGAAACAAAUACGAUUUUUUAAUAGAAAAAAAUCGCAGUAGUUGUAAAGGUUAAAAAGAAAGAAAAAAUAAAUAAAUAAAUAAAUAAAAUGUCGCCUAUACAUAAUUAUAUUGGUUUAAAACCUUUUUAGAGGGUACAAAUGAUGUUUCUCGUGCUGAGAAAAUUCCAAUGCAAAAAUGAGGCUGACAUAGUUAGAAACAAGCGCUUUUGAUUGAAUUUUUCCAUUAAAUUUUGUAUCGUUAGGUAAAAAUCUGUGGACCCCCGACUUCUCGUCCCACGAGUGAUUUACACAGGAUUCAUGAAAAAGCCAUUUAUCCGGUGCAAGCGUACAUAUUAGGUAACACGCAAUAUUGAUUUCUCGUUUCUCCGGAUCGAUUGUUACGUCAAACAUCUCGCGCAGGUAUAGUGGACAAGUUACCUCUGUAACUCGUACUCGUUACUCGGUGAUUUUUCACGUAACAUCUGGUGCGAACUGAGUUUCAAUAGUUUCGCUACACGUAAAGACAAAAAAAAAAAAAAAAAAAAAAAAAACAAGAGUUU